AGACUCAUCCCAAUUGCCAUCCCAAUUUACAUAUGAAUAUCCUUUCAACUUUAAGUCCCCUCCUUAAUAAUAGAGGAUUAGGUCACUUGUUCCAUGAAGGUAGUGCAAGAUUCUUCUGACACAACAUGACAUACAUCAAACUGUCUACUACACUAGCAUAAGGAACGUUGUCCAUUCCUUUGGAUGCUAGGACCUUCAUCACCUAACCUGACUAGAUGAUGAAGACUAACCUCAUGUUCCAAGCUCAGAGCUUGAGGACUAACCCUAUUUUCUGGUGGAUUAUCAAUUGUAGGCAAGUUUUCACCAUCUAGAAUAAUAGGAUCACUCCCACUAUCUCUUUUAUUUGGUGUAAUAUCACUAUUUUUGUGACUUGGUAGGUUU
RNAcentral lists this long non-coding RNA (381 nucleotides) under Carica papaya (papaya). RNAcentral's name for it is "long non-coding RNA (CPAP_LNC002892)". The record is from RNAcentral. Lineage: Eukaryota; Viridiplantae; Streptophyta; Magnoliopsida; Brassicales; Caricaceae.